This 945-nucleotide ribosomal RNA is filed under the name uncultured Halogeometricum sp. RNAcentral's name for it is "bacterial SSU rRNA". It matches the Rfam family "Archaeal small subunit ribosomal RNA", at positions 9 to 957 of the family's 1478-position model. The record is from RNAcentral. Lineage: Archaea; Methanobacteriati; Methanobacteriota; Halobacteria; Halobacteriales; Haloferacaceae.
UGAUCCUGCCGGAGGCCAUUGCUAUCGGAGUCCGAUUUAGCCAUGCUAGUUGCACGAGUUCAGACUCGUGGCAGAUAGCUCAGUAACACGUGGCCAAGCUACCCUAUGGAGAGGGAUAACCCCGGGAAACUGGGGCUAAUACCUCAUAACGCUCCCCCACUGGAAUGUGGGGAGCCGGAAAUGCUCCGGCGCCAUAGGAUGCGGCUGCGGUCGAUUAGGUAGACGGUGGGGUAACGGCCCACCGUGCCGAUAAUCGGUACGGGUCGUGAGAGCGAGUGCCCGGGGAUGGAUUCUGAGACAAGAAUCCAGGCCCUACGGGGCGCAGCAGGCGCGAAACCUUUACACUGCACGCAAGUGCGAUAAGGGGACUCCGAGUGUGUGGGCAUAGAGCCCACACUUUUGUGUACCGUAAGGUGGUACACGAAUAAGAACUGGGCAAGACCGGUGCCAGCUGCCGCGGUAAUACCGGCAGCUCGAGUGAUGGCCGAUUUUAUUGGGCCUAAAGCGUCCGUAGCUGGCCCUGCAAGUCCGUCGGGAAAUCCACUCGCCUAACGAGUGGGCGUCCGGCGGAAACUACAGGGCUUGGGACCGGAAGACUUGAGGGGUACGUCUGGGGUAGGAGUGAAAUCCUGUAAUCCUGGACGGACCGCCGAUGGCGAAAGCACCUCAAGACGACGGAUCCGACAGUGAGGGACGAAAGCUAGGGUCUCGAACCGGAUUAGAUACCCGGGUAGUCCUAGCCGUAAACGAUGUUCGCUAGAUGUGGCACAGGCUACGUGCCUGUGCUGUGUCGUAGGGAAGCCGAGAAGCGAACCGCCUGGGAAGUACGUCCGCAAGGAUGAAACUUAAAGGAAUUGGCGGGGGAGCACUACAACCGGAGAGCCUGCGGUUUAAUUGGACUCAACGCCGGACAUCUCACAGCUCGACUACAGUGAUGACGAUCAG